Molecule: ribosomal RNA, 278 nt
Filed under: uncultured myxomycete
Lineage: Eukaryota; Evosea; Eumycetozoa
Description: partial small subunit ribosomal RNA
Rfam family: Eukaryotic small subunit ribosomal RNA
Source: RNAcentral
GGCUCCAUAAAACAGUUGUAACCUAUCACCGAAUGAUAACCUAUACGGAUAUCCUCGGUAAUUCUGAGGCUAAUACGUGAAAAUUUUAUCCCCAAUCUUGGGCAACUAGGAGAAGGGACGCUCAGCGCCAGUUAGUCAUCAAAUCGUAUACAGUAUGAGUGCAGGCUGAGCACGACCGCGCAAGCGGCGUCAGGUGGCCGGCUUCUGACCUAUCAACUCACGAUGCAGGCGUAAAGCACAAACAUGGUAACAACGGGUACAGAGGAUAAGGGUUCGAU